This 253-nucleotide ribosomal RNA is filed under the name uncultured bacterium. RNAcentral describes it as "partial 16S ribosomal RNA". It matches the Rfam family "Bacterial small subunit ribosomal RNA", at positions 524 to 776 of the family's 1533-position model. The record is from RNAcentral.
UACGGGGGGGGCAAGCGUUGUUCGGAAUUACUGGGCGUAAAGGGCUCGUAGGCGGCCAACUAAGUCGGACGUGAAAUCCCUCGGCUUAACCGGGGAACUGCGUCCGAUACUGGAUGGCUUGAGUAUGGGAGAGGGAUGCGGAAUUCCAGGUGUAGCGGUGAAAUGCGUAGAUAUCUGGAGGAACACCGGUGGCGAAGGCGGCAUCCUGGACCGGUAUUGACGCUGAGGCGCGAAAGCCAGGGGAGCAAACGGG